CUUAUAAUUAGGGAUAGAGGGAGU
RNAcentral lists this microRNA (24 nucleotides) under Corchorus olitorius. RNAcentral's name for it is "mtr-miR520". The record is from RNAcentral. Lineage: Eukaryota; Viridiplantae; Streptophyta; Magnoliopsida; Malvales; Malvaceae.